UUUCGUUACUUUCCAAAUAUUGUUUAAUUCUACGUGAUUUAUUCCGAGAUUUAUUCCAGAUUUUAUUUUAAUUUUGGGAUAGGUAAUAGGACCUCUAAAUGCGUCUGGGAUCUCUCGUUUGUGGCUUACUCAAUACAACUACAAGUAUUAUUUAUUUAAUGGACUUCUUAUAUCUUCAACGGGGUCUGGAAAGUAGAUCAUGCAUGCAUGCCAUCAAAUACUGUAUAUUAGAUGCAUGCAUAUAAUGUGUGUGCUGUUUUGUGUCUUUUGUAUGUCAAUCCAUUAAAGAUG
Paramuricea clavata is the source of this 291-nucleotide non-coding RNA. Lineage: Eukaryota; Metazoa; Cnidaria; Anthozoa; Malacalcyonacea; Plexauridae. The record is from the annotation of a GenBank genome assembly.